GGCGAGAUGGCCGAGCGGUCUAAGGCGCCGGUUUGAGGCAAAAUUCUCUUCGGAGGCGCGAGUUCCAAUCCCACUCUCGUCA
Molecule: transfer RNA, 82 nt
Filed under: Toxocara canis (dog roundworm)
Lineage: Eukaryota; Metazoa; Nematoda; Chromadorea; Rhabditida; Toxocaridae
Rfam family: tRNA
About the family: Transfer RNA (tRNA) molecules are approximately 80 nucleotides in length.
Source: Rfam by way of RNAcentral